GUGUUGUAUGAAAAGGAGAGAAGGUUAGCACUCCCCUUGAUAAGGAUGGGAGAGGUCCUAGUGCCUUUACAACACAUAUACGGUUAAAGCAUUGCCACCUACUCUGUGGCAUCUACCAUGUUUUUUG
Molecule: non-coding RNA, 127 nt
Filed under: Notamacropus eugenii (tammar wallaby)
Lineage: Eukaryota; Metazoa; Chordata; Mammalia; Diprotodontia; Macropodidae
Source: RNAcentral